Molecule: long non-coding RNA, 1385 nt
Organism: Panthera uncia (snow leopard)
Lineage: Eukaryota; Metazoa; Chordata; Mammalia; Carnivora; Felidae
Exons: 4
Source: RefSeq, a predicted model, not a curated record
GAACUGGAAUUCCGUCCGACACCUUCGCGGACACUCUUGAACAUUUUUAAAGCACAGUAGGCUUUUAAGCUCAAGCCAGAGUGGGUUGUAAAGGAAAUACCAUCCGUGGGGCGAACCAUCCAAAACGCCCUGCACCGUUUACUAACUCACUGGCUCCGGGAACUCGUCAUUGUCGCUGGAUCUGCCAUUAAUCCAGAAGUUUGUAUUUUGGGAAGAAACUGCAUGUGCAUAAUUGCAAAGCAACUACUAAGCUGGCUAGAAAUGCGUAAGCUGGCUGUGAACUCCACUAACUCACUGCUGCGAUUUCUGAAUGUGGAGUACCCAGGACCGACCCCCAUUAUCACGCCACAGACAGUGACCAUUUCUCGACUCUCGUGCUGGUCUGCAUCCGUGACUCCUGCUACAGAGACUCUUGAACGUGUGGCGAUUUUAAUGAGGCUAAUAGAUUUGAAGACUCCAAAUUAAGCACCCAGAAAGGACCCAAACUGGGUCACCGCUGUAACAAGAUUUCUCUGUGCACUGGCCCAUUCAGCAUCAGGGGCUGAUUAUUUCAAACCAUCUCACUCAUGUCGGAAAAGAAUUGUUAGUGACCUUUCUUUCAACUGAGGAGGAAGACAAAUAUAUAACUAGUAUUUUCCCCCUGUAUUAUUUGCAACGGUGAGUUAUACAUACUUUCUGUGGGUUCGCACAACCUGAAGUCGAGACAGAAGAAGAAGAUGACUUUUCUGAGUAUCCACCCCAUGUGGCAUUUGCACGAAGAUGCUUGCCUACGCCACCAUCUUGAGGGACAAAGAAAUGAUUUCAGUAUUUCCAGUAUUUGCAAACUGGGUUUAUCGACCCAUGGGGAAAUGACAGAGCAGUGCCUAAAGUCGACUCAUCGGUUUCUCGCGUGGCCCGCUCACGAAAGGCCCUUUGUCUCAUAUGCCCUUGUCCGUCCUCAGAGGGCCCAGCACAGAGCCUUGGCCAUAACGACCACGCAAACAAUAUUCGCUGAGGAAGGUAGAUGGAGCAGACACGCUUCCUAAUCUCCAGCGUCUCGCACCCCUUUGUGUGCUCGUGUCCCCAGGUCGAGGCAAAACAUCGUGUCUCGCGAUUAUCCACAACAAUUUUCUCCACAAUGCAAACUGUCAAGGUCAAUUAUGCGUCACUUAGGUGUUUUCAUCUUAGCACAGAAAUGUUCUUUUUCUUGCCCUCCUGGAAGAAUUUCACAAGAAUUGCAGAGGCUGACUAAACGAUUGCAGAAUUUCUGCAUUUCUGCCAAAUUGCGUUGAAGAAUAACAACAAAAAUAAAUGGCAUUCGUCCUAAAGUCAUGUAGGAGCAGGUUCAGGCAGAGAACAAAGCGUGACAUGUGGGAAUUGGCCAACGCACGUGGUUCUCACAACAC